GGGCCUGUAGCUCAGUCGGUUAGAGCGCACCCCUGAUAAGGGUGAGGUCAGAAGUUCGAAUCUUCUCAGGCCCACCA
RNAcentral lists this transfer RNA (77 nucleotides) under Erythrobacter sp. Its description in RNAcentral is "tRNA-Ile". It matches the Rfam family "tRNA". From Rfam's summary of the family: Transfer RNA (tRNA) molecules are approximately 80 nucleotides in length. Their secondary structure includes four short double-helical elements and three loops (D, anti-codon, and T loops). The record is from RNAcentral. Lineage: Bacteria; Pseudomonadati; Pseudomonadota; Alphaproteobacteria; Sphingomonadales; Erythrobacteraceae. RNAcentral also lists the same sequence under 13 other names.